Molecule: ribosomal RNA, 222 nt
Filed under: uncultured bacterium
Lineage: Bacteria
Description: partial 16S ribosomal RNA
Rfam family: Bacterial small subunit ribosomal RNA
Source: RNAcentral
AUAACUCCGGAAUAGCCUUUCGAAAGAAAGAUUAAUACCGGAUAGCAUACGAAUAUCGCAUGAUAUUUUUAUUAAAGAAUUUCGGUUAUCGAUGGGGAUGCGUUCCAUUAGUUUGUUGGCGGGGUAACGGCCCACCAAGACUACGAUGGAUAGGGGUUCUGAGAGGAAGGUCCCCCACAUUGGAACUGAGACACGGUCCAAACUCCUACGGGAGGCAGCAUG